GUCUAAGACAAUAACACCCUGAACGCGCCCAAUCUCAUCUGUUCUUGGAAGCUAAGCAGGGUCGGGCCUGGUUUGUACUUGGAUGGUAGAAAAGGGCCACAUCUAUUUUAACCU
Molecule: ribosomal RNA, 114 nt
Filed under: Oryctolagus cuniculus (rabbit)
Lineage: Eukaryota; Metazoa; Chordata; Mammalia; Lagomorpha; Leporidae
Source: RNAcentral